Dicentrarchus labrax (European seabass) is the source of this 2236-nucleotide long non-coding RNA. RefSeq lists it as uncharacterized. The record is from RefSeq and is a predicted model, not a curated record. Lineage: Eukaryota; Metazoa; Chordata; Actinopteri; Moronidae. The transcript is spliced from 2 exons.
UGUGGAAACUUCUUGGCAGAGCUAGAGUCAACAGACCUCUUUCCGUGACCCCAGCAACUAGCCGGAACUACUUUCUGCAACACCGAAACCGGGCCAGAACUCCGCUCACGGGACGCAGUGGGGGAAAAGUCACUGCUGAUGCCCGACACUGAUGAUUACCCGCUCUGCAUUAGUUGGAGGGACCAGGCUGAAAAUAUGAUCCGAUGAGAGGAGUGGCGGGGUACCAAGAAAAGAAAAAGCUAAGAGUUAGAAGGACAAAUGAGUUGAAUCUUUAAAGCUACUAUGCUAUUAUUGUCAGUUAAUGUUGAACUGGGGUCCUAUUUAUAAUGUUUGUGUCCCCUGGAGUUUCAGGGCAAAGGUAGCCAGAUAAUUUAUUAAGAUGUUUGUUCAUGUUGAACUGUGGUCCUAUUUCUGAAUGACAUUUGCCAUUUUUGUGUCCCCUGGAGUUUCAGGGCAAAUAGAUAAUUCUCCACCUAAGCCAGGCAGGAAACCUUACAAGAUGAAAAGUACAACAGUGUAAUUGCUUUUGAAUAUUUAAUAACUAACUUAUUGAAUAAUGCUCUGUUUUGUUGGGGUUUUUUUUGUUCAUAGAGAAUGCAGUAAAGCAGCUUUUCUCAACCUUGGUUUCUUAAAAAUAAUUGAAAUAGCCAAUCUAAUGGGGUUUUUAAUGAGGCAUAUUAAAAACAUAGAAAGGAAGGUUGAAAAGUGUUGAAAUGGCCCUUUAAUAAUAACCUUGUUUCACAGUAUAAUGCAAUGCAUAUAUAUAGUUGAAUCAAUGUUUAUUCAUUGUCAGAAUUGAUUGGAUUUUGACGUUAUUUCAAUCAUAGCGAGCACUUUCAAUGUAUAUUUCAAUAUCUGACAUCAAUGUUGAUUACAACCUUCAGCCUGACAAAAUCUCAAUGUUGAUUCAAUCACGUUUUGCUAUUCCAACAUGUUCCUUUGUGUUUCAGUUAAACACUUCAAAUGAACAAGUUCGUGUUUAAAGGUAUCCUUGGAUCCCAACAUAAUGAAUCAGUCUGGAUGAUGGUAGUUUGGUGAUUCUACCAAUCAAUAGUGCAGUAAUUCUGGGUUCAUAUUUACAAUUUAAAGAAUCAUCACAUCAUUGUGUCAUCUGCGAACAGAUUUUUCAUCACGUCUUUAUAUUAUAUAGAGCUGUCAAUAAAAUCAGAACAGUUUGAAUUAAAUCUGCAAAAACUCUAAAGCUAAAGUUUAAGAUGCACUUUGACCUACCAUAAUCGUAAUAUCAGGUCAGUGGGUGUUUUGGGUCUCUCAACGUCAAACCUUCACCCAGGUGUCCCAGGAAGGUUUGAUCAGCUGUUCAUAGUUGUUCAUUGUGUUGAAGACCAUAGACUCUUUCCAAUCCCCUUAAUGACUGUUCCUUGAUCAUGACCCAGGAACCAAUCUGGUCCACCAUCACAAAGGAAAACCUCUUAUUUCUGCUCGAGGAGAGAGGAAGCUUUCUAAUUUCUAAUUAUUAAUGUUUAUUUUCAUAGCAAUGAAUAUAUAUGGAAAAGUCUCCAUUUCCUGGUGAAUCCACACAUUAUGGUUUGAUCUGUCAAAUACACAAUACAUGCAGAGAUAUAAUAUUUCAUACUCUGUGCUGUCAUGUGGCAGAGGUUCUCCAUGUAUUUCAGCAGUGAGCAGUAAAGAUUGUGGCUGACCCCCCCACCCCGGACACAAACCUCUUCCAGCAGAAGGCUGCAGUCCAUCAGGACCAAACCCUCACAGCACAAGAAGACUCAAUGUGUUCUAUUAAAGCACAUUUGCUGUCUCACAUGUUCUUCACACUGUGAACAUUUCCAUCCUCUUUGCCUCAAACACUGUACAGCUCUUUUAAAACUUUAUGUUUAUUGUACAUUUCUGUUUUAUAUGUGUGGUAUCCGAAGGCCUAUAAAUUUAAGUUACAGUUUGUUAUAAGUUCAAGUGAUAUUUUUGUCAACAUAUGCAGUGUUAGUAAGACAUGAGGUUCAACGUCGUAAUUCUUACUAUGAAAUGUUUAGGUUAGGAGCCCCUUCGAAGCCCCUUGAACCUUUACCUUCUGACGUAAAUAUUUCAGUACAUCUGAUAGCCAAACCAGAUGUUUCUUUACUAUUUUGUUGAAUAAACAAUAUACCUAUAUAAAGCCUAUGUUCGACGCAUAUAGACAGAGUUGUUCAUUUGGCUGGAUGCUCUCCAAGCUCCCGCGGUGCUUGUAUUGAUGCUGAACUUUUUGUAAUAAACCUUUAUAUACAAUCAA